GCUGGGUGCAGUGGCGCACGCCUGUAGUCCCAGCUACUUGGGAGGCUGAGGUGGGAGGAUUGCUUGAGUCCAGGAGUUCUGGGCUGCAGUAUGCUAUGCCGAUCGGGUAUCCGCACUAAAUUCGGCAUCAAUAUGGUAACCUCCCGGGAGUGGGGGACCCCACCAGGUUGCCUAAGGAGGGGUGAGUCGGCCCAGGUCGGAAAAAAAAGAAAAGAAAAAGAAAUCUUUGCCUAUGCAGAGUCAUAAAGGUACUUUAAAAAAAAAUGUAUUUGGUUGUUGCAGGGUCUCACUACACAGCUUGAACUUGUGGUGAUUCUCCUGUUUU
RNAcentral lists this small RNA (325 nucleotides) under Octodon degus (degu). Its description in RNAcentral is "Metazoan signal recognition particle RNA (ENSODEG00000025817.1)". It matches the Rfam family "Metazoan signal recognition particle RNA", at positions 1 to 236 of the family's 299-position model. From Rfam's summary of the family: The signal recognition particle (SRP) is a universally conserved ribonucleoprotein. The record is from RNAcentral. Lineage: Eukaryota; Metazoa; Chordata; Mammalia; Rodentia; Octodontidae.